Molecule: transfer RNA, 83 nt
Filed under: Vannella simplex
Lineage: Eukaryota; Discosea; Flabellinia; Vannellidae
Description: tRNA-Ser
Rfam family: tRNA
About the family: Transfer RNA (tRNA) molecules are approximately 80 nucleotides in length.
Source: RNAcentral
UGUCAAGUGGCCGAGUGUUAAAGGCAUCGAGUUUGAAACUCGACGUGACAAAACACACAUAGGUUCGAAUCCUAUCUUGCUCU